Molecule: ribosomal RNA, 433 nt
Filed under: uncultured bacterium
Lineage: Bacteria
Description: partial 16S ribosomal RNA
Rfam family: Bacterial small subunit ribosomal RNA
Source: RNAcentral
ACGAACGCUGGCGGCAUGCCUCACACCUGCCAGUCGAACGCGACCUUCGGGUCUAGUGGCGCACGGGUGCGUCACGCGUGGGAACCUGCCCUUAGGUUCGGAAUAACUCCCCGAAAGGGGUGCUAAUACCGGAUAAUGUCUUCGGACCAAAGAUUUAUCGCCUUUGGAUGGGCCCGCGUUGGAUUAGCUAGUUGGUAGGGUAAAAGCCUACCAAGGCGACGAUCCAUAGCUGGUCUGAGAGGAUGAUCAGCCACACUGGGACUGAGACACGGCCCAGACUCCUACGGGAGGCAGCAGUGGGGAAUAUUGGACAAUGGGCGAAAGCCUGAUCCAGCAAUGCCGCGUGAGUGAUGAAGGCCUUAGGGUUGUAAAGCUCUUUUACCCGGGAUGAUAAUGACAGUACCGGGAGAAUAAGCUCCGGCUAACUCCGUGC